GUUUUUUUUUAUUUUUUAUUUUUUAUUAUUAUUUUACACAAUAUACUUUUCAGUAUCCAAAUAAUUGUUUUGUACACUACUUUGUAAUGUUUUUCACUGAAAACGUAGCAUUGAGGUGUAUUUUCCGGAAUAUGCCUAGUAUCACCGGAAUGCCAUGCGAUAACGUUACGGGAAGGCAUGUGAUAACAAUCGAAGCAUGUGAUAAACUUUUCAUAUCAGCCCGCUAAGCACCAAUUCGAAAAAUAUGGAAUUUACGUAAAUUUAAUGCUAUUAUCAUACAGUAAAAUUUAUAUGUUAUUUAGUCUAAGUAUAUGAUAAA
This 319-nucleotide long non-coding RNA is filed under the name Mytilus galloprovincialis (Mediterranean mussel). The record is from RNAcentral. Lineage: Eukaryota; Metazoa; Mollusca; Bivalvia; Mytilida; Mytilidae.